This 440-nucleotide ribosomal RNA is filed under the name uncultured bacterium. RNAcentral describes it as "partial 16S ribosomal RNA". It matches the Rfam family "Bacterial small subunit ribosomal RNA", at positions 338 to 795 of the family's 1533-position model. The record is from RNAcentral.
CCUACGGGAGGCAGCAGUGGGGAAUAUUGCACAAUGGGGGAAACCCUGAUGCAGCGACGCCGCGUGAGUGAAGAAGUAUCUCGGUACGUAAAGCUCUAUCAGCAGGGAAGAAAAUGACGGUAUCUGACUAAGAAGCCCCGGCUAACUACGUGCCAGCAGCCGCGGUAAUACGUAGGGUGCAAGCGUUAUCCGGAUUUACUGGGUGUAAAGGGAGCGUAGACGGGAUAACAAGUCAGGAGUGAAAUCCUAGGGCUUAACCCUGGAACUGCUUUGGAAACUGUUCGGCUGGAGUGCAGGAGGGGUAAGCGGAAUUCUUAGUGUAGGGGUGAAAUGCGUAGAGAUUAAGAGGAAUACUGGUGGCGAAGGCGACUUACUGGACUAUAACUGACGCUGAGGCUCGAAAGCGUGGGGAGCAAACAGGAUUAGAUACCCCAGUAGUC